Molecule: ribosomal RNA, 342 nt
Filed under: uncultured eukaryote
Lineage: Eukaryota
Description: SSU rRNA
Rfam family: Eukaryotic small subunit ribosomal RNA
Source: RNAcentral
CCAGCAGCUGCGGUAAUUCCAGCUCCAGUAGCGUAUAUUAAAUUUGUUGCGGUUAAAAAGCUCGUAGUUGGAUUUAUGUGAACUCUCGUUAUAUAGUGAGUAGACACAAAAUAAUUUACUUUGAGGAAAUUAGAGCGUUUCAAGCAAGCGUUAGCUGUGAAUAUAUUAGCAUGGUAUGAAGAUAAGAGUUUUCCAAUUGGUUUAAUUGGUAAUACUUUUUUAAAUAGGGACAGUUGGGGGCAUUCGUAUUUAUUUGUCAGAGGUGAAAUUCUUGGAUUUUUUAAGGACGAACUGAUGCGAAAGCAUUUGCCAAGGAUGUUUUCAUUAAUCAAGAACGAAAGU